UCUUACCAGGUUAGGUGAUCCUUCCUCAGU
This 30-nucleotide non-coding RNA is filed under the name Mus musculus (house mouse). Lineage: Eukaryota; Metazoa; Chordata; Mammalia; Rodentia; Muridae. The record is from RNAcentral.